Molecule: non-coding RNA, 124 nt
Organism: Triticum aestivum (bread wheat)
Lineage: Eukaryota; Viridiplantae; Streptophyta; Magnoliopsida; Poales; Poaceae
Source: Rfam
GUAUUACUCCCCCGUCCGGAAUUAUUUGUCAUCAAAAUGGAUGAAAAUAGAUGUAUCUAGAACUAAAAUACAUCUAAAUACAUCCAUUUCAACGACAAGUAUUUCGAGACGGAUGGAGUAAUUU